RNAcentral lists this ribosomal RNA (256 nucleotides) under uncultured bacterium. RNAcentral describes it as "partial 16S ribosomal RNA". It matches the Rfam family "Bacterial small subunit ribosomal RNA", at positions 524 to 776 of the family's 1533-position model. The record is from RNAcentral.
UACGUAGGGGGCUAGCGUUGUCCGGAAUCAUUGGGCGUAAAGAGCGUGUAGGCGGCCCGGUAAGUCCGCUGUGAAAGUCGGGGGGCUCAACCCUCGAAUGCCGGUGGAUACUGUCGGGCUAGAGUGCGGAAGAGGAUAGUGGAAUUCCUGGUGUAGCGGUGAAAUGCGUAGAUAUCAGGAGGAACACCGGUGGUGUAGACGGGCUAUCUGGACCGUAACUGACGCUGAGGCACGGAAAGCGUGGGUAGCAAACAGG